CCAACAGGGAUUGCCUCAGUAACGGCGAGUGAAGCGGCAACAGCUCAAAUUUGAAAUCUGGCCUCGCGGUCCGAGUUGUAAUUUGCAGAGGAUGCCUCGGGCGCGAUGCCGGUCUAAGUUCCUUGGAACAGGACGUCGCAGAGGGUGAGAAUCCCGUACGUGACCGGCGGUCAACCCCGUGUGAGGCUCCUUCGACGAGUCGAGUUGUUUGGGAAUGCAGCUCUAAAUGGGUGGUAAAUUUCAUCUAAAGCUAAAUACCGGCCAGAGACCGAUAGCGCACAAGUAGAGUGAUCGAAAGAUGAAAAGCACUUUGGAAAGAGAGUUAAAAAGUACGUGAAAUUGUUGAAAGGGAAGCGCUUGCAACCAGACUUGCCCGCGGGUGAUCCCCCGUCCUUCGGGGCGGUGCACUCGCCCGCGAUCAGGCCAGUAUCGGUUUCGGCGGCCGGACAAAGACGUCGGGAAUGUGGCUUCCUCCGGGGAGUGUUAUAGCCCGGCGCGCAAUGCGGCCAGCCGGGACCGAGGACCGCGCUUCGGCUAGGAUACUGGCGUAAUGGUUGUCAGCGACCCGUCUUGAAACACGGACCAAGGAGUCUAACAUCUAUGCGAGUGUUUGGGUGUCAAACCCAUGCGCGCAAUGAAAGUGAACGGAGGUGGGAACCUUUCGGGGGGCACCAUCGACCGAUCCUGAUGUCUUCGGAUGGAUUUGAGUACGAGCAUAGCUGUUGGGACCCGAAAGGUAUGUUUUCUGUCUCGUCUGUUUUUCUACGAAUCUAUGCUAACUGCUUCUGUUGAAAGAUGGUGAACUAUGCGUGAAUAG
This 817-nucleotide ribosomal RNA is filed under the name Xylographa constricta. RNAcentral's name for it is "eukaryotic LSU rRNA". It matches the Rfam family "Eukaryotic large subunit ribosomal RNA", at positions 65 to 950 of the family's 3401-position model. Lineage: Eukaryota; Fungi; Ascomycota; Lecanoromycetes; Baeomycetales; Xylographaceae. The record is from RNAcentral.